AGAUUGAACGCUAGCGGGAUGCUUUACACAUGCAAGUCGAACGGCAGCGCGGACUUCGGUCUGGCGGCGAGUGGCGAACGGGUGAGUAAUAUAUCGGAACGUGCCCAGUAGCGGGGGAUAACUACGCGAAAGCGUGGCUAAUACCGCAUACGCCCGUACGGGGGAAAGGGGGGAUCGCAAGACCUCUCACUAUUGGAGCGGCCGAUAUCAGAUUAGCUAGUUGGUGAGGUAAAGGCUCACCAAGGCGACGAUCUGUAGCUGGUUUGAGAGGACGACCAGCCACACGUGGGACUGAGACACGGCCCAGACUCCGUACGGGAGCAGCAGGUGGGAUUUGACAAGUCGGGGGAACC
Molecule: ribosomal RNA, 353 nt
Filed under: uncultured soil bacterium
Lineage: Bacteria
Description: bacterial SSU rRNA
Rfam family: Bacterial small subunit ribosomal RNA
Source: RNAcentral